Molecule: long non-coding RNA, 637 nt
Filed under: Brassica rapa (field mustard)
Lineage: Eukaryota; Viridiplantae; Streptophyta; Magnoliopsida; Brassicales; Brassicaceae
Description: long non-coding RNA (BRAP_LNC001754)
Source: RNAcentral
UUUUGUCAGGGUUGUACCCAACCUUCUUCAAGUAGGAAGACACCUCCUUGAUGAUCUCAUCGUACCUAGCCUUGGAGUACUUAGGGGUAGUAGCAUCCAUCUGAAUCAACAAAACUUUGUGUUAGUUAAACCAAACUGAAUAAGCAAUCACAAUAAGAAAAUCAACAAUGUACAGUGACUUCACCUUGUUACAGCAGCAAAUCAUCUGCUUGACACCAAGGGUGAAAGCAAGAAGAGCAUGCUCACGGGUCUGACCAUCCUUGGAGAUACCAGCCUCAAAACCACCAGUGGUGGAGUCAAUGAUCAAAACAGCACAAUCAGCCUGGGAGGUACCAGUAAUCAUGUUCUUGAUGAAAUCACGAUGUCCAGGAGCGUCAAUGACCGUGCAGUAGUACUUGGUGGUCUCGAACUUCCAGAGAGCGAUAUCAAUGGUGAUACCACGCUCACGCUCGGCCUUAAGUUUGUCUAAGACCCAGGCGUACUUGAAGGACCUCUUGUUCAUCUCAGCAGCCUCCUUCUCGAACCUCUCGAUGACACGCUUGUCAAUACCACCGAGCUUGUAGAUCAAGUGACCAGUGGUGGUCGAUUUUCCAGAGUCGACAUGGCCGAUGACCACAAUGUUGAUGUGAAACUUCUC